Molecule: long non-coding RNA, 335 nt
Organism: Heterocephalus glaber (naked mole-rat)
Lineage: Eukaryota; Metazoa; Chordata; Mammalia; Rodentia; Bathyergidae
Source: Ensembl
GGCUGAGAAUGCACUAUCAUGCUUUUUUCAAGCUGCCUUUCCACUGGUUGGCACUCAGCUCCAGCAUUCGCCUUAUUUUUGAUCAUACCUCCUAAAGACACUCACAAAUGAGGUCCAGAACUGCAAGAAAGAUGGGAUAAGUUUAUUUGGAGCAACAGGGGCUAUUUUGAGAGGGAUUAAUAACAACCUGAUGGAAAUAAGUACCUGCUGAUUGGGACUACACAGCACUAGACUGACCAGAGUGGAAGGUGUGCUGAGGAUAAAUACCCACUCUGUGACCUUGGAAAAGAUCCUUGAAUUAUUUCACGUCUCAUUUGCUGGGAAAUGAAGUAGAC